AAUCCGCAACCUUGUUUUGCCGGACGUGUUGGCCGUGUGUGUUUCACGUCUCUGUCUUGAGGUCAAUUUACCGAUUAGUCGUGAUGCGUGGAGUUCAACUUAGUUUCAAAUGUGUCCGAAAACGAAGGAAGCGACUGUGAGCCGUGGAACUACGUCGAAUCUGCUCAACAGCCAAGAUCAUGGCACGGUCGUUUCAAAUCCUUACCAAGUAGAAGUUGGCAUUCACUUUCACCAUCCUGAUGUGAGUGUCCUGAGGCGACACAGAAUGACAGCUUCCUCUGCUGAAGGCCAGGCUUGAUGGAAGACUGCCAAGGCUGUUCAUGUGCAGCCCUUGCCGAACGGAAGCUAGCAUCGACUAGGCCAAUUUGUUCCUGCAUCACCAGCCGACCCGAGGAUCAGGUCCAUGGCAGUCUGCAAAGGUUGUUGAUGGUAAGCUGCUUUAUAUAUACAGCUGUGUAAUAGCAGCUUGUCCUGGAUGACAAUUUGAAAUGCGUGUUUAUGUUUUAGAAAGUGAAAUUCGCAUGGGCAUACUUGCAACGUGAAAGCUUACCAAGCUUGUUCUGAUCUUUCAUCCUUUUGAGAUUUCAGUACAGCCGUUUCUGCUGCACACAUACUGCCUACUUCGGCCAGGUAGAGACUUGAUACAUAUGAAGGUAAGCAGGCGAUUAUCAACUGCUCAGUGCUGUCCGUGGUGACGUUCUCUCCUUAUCAGAUGACUUACCAUGCUUGGUUCGCAAGGCAUUUUAAAAGGAGAGCAAGUCCGCUGGUGCAUGAUGCUCCCAGUACUGAGCAGUCGAUGAUUGCUUGUUCACACUCGUAGAGAUCACGACUGUACUUCAAGCUCGGCAAGUGUGACACUUAUGUGAUUCAGCCUAGCUGUGGUGUGCUGAGCGGUAUAUGUAGAGCUAGUUUACUUGAGCACACACAGUGGCUGUGCGGUAUAAAUAGCGCCCAAUUGGCAACUUUAAUGCAGUCUCGUGUAGUUCCAUUGAUGUUUUCUUUUGGCGUGCAUGAUAUGUGUUCACACUUUUUUUUUUCCUCGCUUAGCGACAGUCCUAGCUGUCUGCAGAGAGUAAGUGUGAAACAUGCCAACAAGCCUCUAAAGCAGUAUGCAGUGCAAUUUUGGUCUAUUGUGCAAGCGAGGAAGAAAACUGCUCGUUUGGCUGUUGAGGCUGCGACAUUGACAUUAGAUAGUUUUAUCUGAGCAUUGUUACGACCCGCUCCACUCAAAAGGAAAGCACCUGCAUGCUCACAAUGCUCAGUCAGCAACGACCAGUCGGAGCGCAGAUGCCGAUGGGGCAGACAACUCCUGCACCCCGAUGACCUCUGCCGACUGAGCGUUACGUGUGUGCCUGGUUACUUUCCUGCUCAGUGGCUGAGCGGAGCGGCCCGUAAAAAGCGUUCAGCUAAAACUUUUUCUGAUAGGGGGUGGCUGACACAUAGAUAUUUCAGGCAGAAGUAUGGCCGACAUUGGCUCACAUCAAUUCUCAGUAUGAGCAGCUCUCAUCGCAAUACGGAAAUUAUGAUUCAAACUUCCUCUACCCCUUUCUGAAGGUUUUGAAGGUGCUCCUAGCAGUAUUGUUGGGCUAGACAUAAUCAUACCCAGAUCCACUCCAAUAAAUUCUAAGAGGAUGAAGUCAGUUGCCACAUAGCUUGUGCAAAGCUAAAUCUGGAACUCACUCCUCCUUCCUGUUUUUCACUGUAUUGAGAACCUUGUCUCAGUAUGUGAUGGGUCUGUGAAGAAAAUUGACCAGAUAAGCAAUAUUACUCAGAAAAUAGAUGUCCCAUACAUAUUAACCUGCACCUACCAGCCACUGUACACCACCUCACUACUGAUUUGUUAUCUUUCUAUUGAUUUGCCUGAACUGUUCGCACCUGUAGAUAUUAAUGAUGAUCACGAGGGAAUGUUUCUUGUCAUAUGAUGUCAUAUGCUUAAAGUAAGUGAGGCUUGCGGGCGUUUUCAAGGGCUAUGGGGCAUGCCGAUGGUAAACACUCAAUGUGAGUUUAUGGUAGACGCUAAUAAUAUAUACUAGUUUCUGGGUAAGUCGCUAUUUUUUAUUUGGUGAAGUCUGCAGAUGAGUUUUAGUCAGGUUGCCAUUAUGUGGGAACACAGGGGCCAUACUCUGCAAUAUAUUAUAUGUUUACAUGUGUCUACCCAAUCUCAUUAGUAUGUGUACAACAAUGAGCUGUAUUCGCGACUCCAACGAUCUAUAGGGGGCGCCACCACCAAACAAACAUGGCGGCUGGGAACAGGUCGCGUCGGCUCGGCCGGGCCGCCUGAACGGGUAGCGCAUUCAAUUUAACAGAUUUUCUUUUGUUUAAUGCCCUAUUUUAUAGGUAUUUCAACUGCGACGGUUAAGUGUAGCCGGUGCAGAUAAACUUGCAGAGCAUAGUUUUGUUUUCCCGGUGCUUUUUGUUCUUUUCAUGUCAAACUUUUGUUUCAGAGGUUUCGUUCAUUACCGAAACUAUGGGCUCCAAAGAGACGGUAAUAGACUCUAAUCAGUUUUGAUCAGGUAAGGAAAGCAGCGAUGACUACAGAAUUGUUCCACCGACAGUAAUUUUCAACUACCUCGCAUCACUCGACCAUACGACUUAUCUGUCGGCGAAAUCGAGCUUUUGUGCGUAUUAAGAAACAGCUCCAGUCGUCUGCUCGAUCAGCAACACAGGCUGCAGGAAAAUUACGAAAAUUAAGCAAGCGCUUCUUGAGCCAAGCUUGAGCUUCUUGAGCCCCACUAAGCAGCUGAUACUCGUAUUUCAACUCGGGUUUUAGUGACAAUCGAAGUCAUUUUGACGAAUGUGCAGGUUAUGCAUUAUAUUAUGUACCAUGUCCCACUAAAGGGAUAUUAGUAUAUUAUUUGGGCUGAAAUAUGAGCUUACUUGACAAGCUAUUAGGUGAACUGCUGAAUCAAAGUAUAUUUGACAGACGGAGAGAUACUACCUAAACUCAGCCAUAUGGUUCUAGCCGGCAGCACGGAGAUGAUUGCGGACAAAUUUGAAGAGAGUCUUCAUCGGAGAUUCACGCAGAACCCCUCUGCAUUAAACUUGACUUCAAAUCCUGAAUGGAGAAGGAGAGUAUCUUUUGUGGCCGGACAACCUGAGCAAUGUAGACGAAUAUUGCUGCUGGCUUCAACGAGGGUAUAUUAUAAAUAUUGGAGGCGCAAUAGAUCAUAAUGUCGUGACAGCUUCUAACUUUGCGAGACGCGUCCCCCAUUUUUUGAAAGCAGACAAUAUCCCUCAUUAAUCGUAUGCAGCGAGGAGGUUUUCGAGAAUCAAGUAGAUGCGAAAUCAGCCCAACUUUUUCGGUGUGGUCCAGAGGCUUUUUCGGUGAAAAGCUGCCAAGAUGAAUAGCCAAUGCACCGACCAGCGUGGGUGGCUCAAUCUUGACGCUAAUCAAACACAGCCAAAUUCAAGAAAAGCAGCUAUUGAACCUUCCCAUUCACUUGACUGCAGCAUUGGGGUUCCCUCCAGUGAAACACCUCGUCUGUUUUACAUACCACUUAUCAAUUACCGAGUAGUUGUCACUUUGAAUGUCAUUCGAGCCAGAGAAGAAAUCAAAACGUUUUUCCUUGAUUCCUCCCCAUCCAAGAAAUUGAAAGCACGCGAUUGUGUGUUGUGGAGUAAACAGGCUUUCAAACACGUGAUAGAAAGAAACAAUUUACUGAGGCUUCAUCACACUGAUGAACACUCAGGCAAACUUGAGAAAUAUUCAGACCUUCAUCAAAUUACAUUGUUUGCCACCGCGUCGACAACACGUGUCCGCGAAAGCCGCCAGAGACGUGGAGAGGCGCAGAGCGACCUGUUCUGGCUGGUUCCUGGUUUUCCCGCUUGGUGCUGUCCGUUUUGCUAGGGUCGCGAAUAUGUCAAGGAUAUGAUUUGUCAUUGUCUCAGUAAGACUAAUGAAUCGCUAUAUUUACCUAAAAAUGCUGGAUCUCUCGCACCUAUCGGGACGAACGGCAAUGUUAAACUACAUGCCAACUACUCCGGCGAGUUUGCCCGUCUCUCGACAUGCCCUUUUGAAUUAAAGUAGAUGAUUUCCACGAGCCUUUCUUUGAAGUGGGCCUUCUUCAUGCAAAUAGCUAACCUUGAUUAUGAGAUAACUGGGCCAUUUUUGCCGCUUGGUUAUCCAGUGUGUUGUAACAGGUGUCCCUUUGGGCAAUCAAAGUAUUUUUGUUUUGAUAUAGUUUCCAGAUUGAAAAUGAAAUGAAGACAAUUAACGCAUUGGUUACAAAAAGUUUUUCUUUUACAUGGGCUUCUUGUCUCAUGCCUCUGGUUUUCUGGCCACUUGAUUAGCUUGGUUUAUCUUUUUAGAGGUGAUACUUACUUAGUUUUUGUGCUUUUGUUUUGGGUGUUUUUCAGGCUGAUUUUCUUUUUUUUUGUUCUCAAUAGUGUGUAUAUAUUGCGCCGUUGAGUUCAAUGAAAAUUUAGUUUCGAGUCAGCGCUCUGUCCGUGUCCUUUACCCUGUCCGUCGUCCUUUUCGCUGUUUUAACCUUUUAAGCGCUUGCCCAGUUUGGAAUUUCUGGAUUAUCAUGUGCAGCUGGUAUUGAUUUACCCUGUCAUUUUACUGUGCUGUUGAUUCUCUUUGCAGGUGCUCUAAUGAAGGACUCCCCUUCCUGGGUGCAUGGUCGACUUGCAUCACAAGCUGCAUGAAAAGUGUGAAGAACAUUUCCUAGGCCCGUGACAUGCAGCCUCUUUCAUCCAGCGCACUCCUCUAGCGACAAGCCCAUGAUGACCAGCCAAGCUGUAGCUUCACUGGAGCUGACAAUAAACAAUUACGGUAACAA
Molecule: long non-coding RNA, 4781 nt
Filed under: Ixodes scapularis (black-legged tick)
Lineage: Eukaryota; Metazoa; Arthropoda; Arachnida; Ixodida; Ixodidae
Description: uncharacterized LOC121833461
Source: RNAcentral